This 1092-nucleotide ribosomal RNA is filed under the name Cactodera torreyanae. Its description in RNAcentral is "partial large subunit ribosomal RNA". It matches the Rfam family "Eukaryotic large subunit ribosomal RNA", at positions 40 to 964 of the family's 3401-position model. The record is from RNAcentral. Lineage: Eukaryota; Metazoa; Nematoda; Chromadorea; Rhabditida; Heteroderidae.
UUAUAUAUNNGGGGGAAGAAAAAGCAUACGAGGAUUCCCGUAGUAACGGCGAGUGAACUGGGAAUAGUCCAGCGCUGAAUCGCGGUCCCUCUGGGGCUGUGAGGUGUAGCGUACAGACCGUGAGCUUGGGUUGGCCUGCCCGUUCAAGUUUCCCUUGACCGGGGCUCCAGAGAAGGUGCAAGACCUGUCCAACGGGUGGUUGCCUACCCAUCUUCGCGUGUCUUGGAGUCGGGUUGUUUGGGAUCGCAGCCCAAAGCAGGUGGUAAACUUCAUCUAAGACUGAAUACGGCCACGAGUCCGAUAGCGAACAAGUACCGUGAGGGAAAGUUGCAAAGCACUUUGAAGAGAGAGUUAAAGAGGACGUGAAACCGAUGAGGUGGAAACGGACAGAGCUGGCGUAUCUGGUCUGCAUUCAUCCGUGUGCUCUUGGGCGUUUGGGUGCCACUCUCCAGACUGGGAUGGUGUUCAUUCUGUUCAGGGGCGCAUGGGGCAUUUGCAGGCGGAGUGCGCUGAGACGCUCGGGGCAGCUGUAUGAGCUUGGCUUUGAGGCCAGCCCUUCGGGGUCUGGUACCCGGGCCGGGGGAGUGCUGUUUGCUUUGGGUGAUGUGCUGGUGCAAUGGUUACGGGCCCGUGUUGGUUUGAGCUGGCGGUCGGUGGCGGUCGCGUGCGACACGUACCAGCAGUCAGUUCGGUCCUGCUCGGGCUCUCAUUGCAUGUUCUCGGUGUAAAAGCCGGUCAUCUGUCCGACCCGUCUUGAAACACGGACCAAGGAGUUUAGCGUGUGCGCGAGUCAUUGGGUGUUGAAAACCCAAAGGCGUAAUGAAAGUGAAGUCUCCUUGCGGAGCUGAUGUGUGAUCCUGUGCACCUCGGUGUGCGGGCGCAACAUAGUCCCGUCCCGAUCGCAUGCGAUGGGGCGGAGACAGAGCGUACGCGCUGAGACCCGAAAGAUGGUGAACUAUUCCUGAGCAGGACGAAGCCAGAGGAAACUCUGGUGGAAGUCCGAAGCGAUUCUGACGUGCAAAUCGAUCGUCUGACUUGGGUAUAGGGGCGAAAGACUAAUCGAACCAUCUAGUACGGGGGUUUCUCUUCCGA